This 253-nucleotide ribosomal RNA is filed under the name uncultured bacterium. RNAcentral describes it as "partial 16S ribosomal RNA". It matches the Rfam family "Bacterial small subunit ribosomal RNA", at positions 524 to 776 of the family's 1533-position model. The record is from RNAcentral.
UACGUAGGUGGCGAGCGUUGUCCGGAUUUACUGGGCGUAAAGAGCGCGCAGGCGGUCGUACAAGUCGCGUGUGAAAGCCCCCGGCUCAACUGGGGAGGGUCACGCGAUACUGUUCGACUCGAAGGCAGGAGAGGGUAGUGGAAUUCCCGGUGUAGUGGUGAAAUGCGUAGAUAUCGGGAGGAACACCAGUGGCGAAGGCGGCGCUCUGGAACGUUUCUGACACUGAGGCUCGAAAGCGUGGGGAGCAAACAGG